This 4871-nucleotide long non-coding RNA is filed under the name Gallus gallus (chicken). RNAcentral's name for it is "lncRNA (ENSGALG00010026296.1)". The record is from RNAcentral. Lineage: Eukaryota; Metazoa; Chordata; Aves; Galliformes; Phasianidae.
UUUUUUUUUUUUUUUUUUUUGGAUACUGAUGAAAACUAAGACUGUUGUAAUCUUCUGCCAUUUACAGGACCAACUGUUGUGAUACUGUGUGUCCUUUGACUCUUUCCCACUAAAAGAAAAAUAUCAAGACCAACCAGCUGACCCCAUUUUACCACUGUAACCUGCAGAGGGGACGCACAAUCAAGUGGUUUUGCAAGAUGUCUUUUGUAUGGAAACAUGUAUUUUAUAACAAAGACUUCCCUUUUCUGAUGUGUAGUGGGUAGUGUUUAAAAGACACUUUUCUGGUGACAGUUCUCCCUUACGUCCCCCCCAACACGUUUUUUUUGUUUGUUUGUUUUUACAGUAGAGAAGAUAAGAUUCAUUUUAUUCUGCUGUUUUACAGCUGCUGGGACCAAAGGAUUGCUGAAGUAUUUAAGCAAUCUCAAAUUCUGUGACCUUCCUGAACAGCCUCAGCCCUAAGUAAGGCGAGUUAAUGUGUUUGAAAAUUUUAAAACAGUAGAGUAUCCAGAAAGCAGUGUUAAUAAGUAGUGUAUUUUUUUAAUUGAUAUUAUAAGUUUGUGCUUCCAGUAAGUCGCAUUCUUAAAACUCCUUCCUUCACCCGGCUGCUGUCAGUGAUGGUUUAUUGGCUGGAGAAUUGGAUUUUAAAGCACUUGUCCCAGUAGUGUUCCGUUUGUGCACAGAAUUUUUGUACAGGAGUGGGGAAAAAACACGUCAUGUUCUGGUUCCCUUUUAUUCCAGAAAAUGUGCCAUUUACCUCUUACAGGUUUGCUUGGUUACUUACAGAGUUAGUUGGCAUGAAUUGUUAAUCACUCUUGGCAAAAAUCUGCUCUGAUGUGACUCUUCACUGUAUUAUAGACCCUGGCUAUGUGAUACUGAAAUACCUGUGCAUGAUUUCCUCUCUUUUUGUCAUAGUGGUGUUUUCUGUGUAUGUUGAACAUGUUGGCUUGUCGGCCGUGGUAUUUGUCAGCCAUGGUGUUUGUUACACAGCAAAUUUCUGCAGCAGAUCUGUUCUCCCUUUUUGACUAGCAGCUAAGGCUGGUGUGUAAAACGGGAUUUUUUUGACACUUAUUCUGUCCUCAUCUGCAGCAGUUUGUGGUUCCUUUGAAGUUAUAAGGGAAGGGGCCAUUCAAAUGAAAGCUGUUCAGGGACUUCAGUGAGGUUUCUCUUGUGUUCCUAGGGUUCAUUAUAUGUAUUUGAGUAAAUACAAUAUAGAUAUGUGCAAAAAAAACUGCCGUGACUUGAAUGCUGAUGUCAUAUCAUCCUAUAAAAUGUUUGCCUUUCAGCCUCUUCUACGGAGGUAAAUUCUGUCAUUUCAAAUUAAUAUAACUGUGGAUAUUUUUCUGGAUCUAAAUAUCUGAAUUGGUCUGUUAAGCAUGAGUCGCUCCUACUGACUUGCAUAUGCAUUGCUUCCCUGGCUGAGUUGCAGUCUCAGAUCCCUCCCUAAUUACAUCUAUCUGAAGAUUGUACUGUAAAUAUACCAACUUUGCUCAGUGCUUAAUACGCUGAAUUUGGCUGCAGACAUUUCACUAGGAGAAAAAAAAUAAUCUCUGUACUUUUGCAGAUAAUAGUCAUAGUUCUGAUGCAUGCUUACUGUUCCUCUAAAUCCAACAUAAAUAACUGUCUGAUAGCAAUAAACUUCACUGAGCAGGUAAGUGUAAAUCACAGCGGCCUACACAAGUCCUGCAUUUAGAGUGUAUGUUGAGCCCCUCUUUAAAACGUAAUGUAGAAGUUCAGCAAAUGAAAAAUGUUACAUCUAUUAAAUUAGCAAAUGAACAUAAUUUAAUAUGCCAAUUUUCUUCCCAUCAAAAUAGAUAGGAUCAUGCAGAUGGGACUAAAAAAGCUCUGUUUUUGAGUGGCAGCUCUGAUUUACACUGAAUAAGUGUAGGAGAGGAGAGGACUUUGUGCACCAAAUUUGUGUGCUAUGAUCAGUUAAUGAGGCUUUGUGGUAUUAAUCAUUUUCUUCUGUAAGAGUUCCAGUGGAAUUUGAAGACUAGCACAUACUGCUUUAGAUAGGUUGUCUAAAGCUGAUACGGCUGGAUUCAUGAGAGAUGGGAUCAUUCAGGUGAAGGAAGUUCUUGUAAAUCUACUUUUCUCUGUAGCAGUAGCAUGUAAAGAGUUUCUCCAUCGAUGCCAAAACGCAUAGUGCUUCAUCAGGAAAUCUUAACUAAGUGGUUAAGAACUGAAGGGCUAAAGUUAACAAAUAGCCUUUGUUAUGGCCUUGAGACUUAACUGAUUUAACCAAAACUGCAUUAUGAUGUUUGUUUUAAUCACAGAGUGAUUCUCUCAAAUAACAGUGAGCUUUCUUAACUUGGAACUUUUUUUCUCCUGUUUUAGUACUCAAGCAUCUCUUCAGUAGCUCACAUUGUAUAGUAUUGGACAAUGUACUGUGUAGAUUACUGAGCCGAUCUGUUAAAAAUACCAAUAGAAAUGUAUGAGGAGUUUGCUUUUUAUCAAAACAAAUUGGAUUCAGGAUGACAUUCAAUUUAUUGUUUUAUUUUUUUUUAAUGUACAGGACUGUUCAGUGCUGUGGCAGCUCUACUUUAAUGUGAAUUCACACUAAGGACUCAGAAUUAAGAAAAUAUAUAACAGCACUUGUUCCAAGACCAGCUUUUACAAGUAUGCAUAUAGAACCUAGCCUUAAACUUCCUAUGUGCUGUCUUGUGCCAUAGCAGAGCUGCAAGGUAAAGUAUUUAAAUCAAUCUAAGAAUAGCUUUGAGGGUGUAUAUAACUUUAAAAAACAAAAACACACACAAACUCAUUUAUGUAUAGAGUUGAGAUACUCAGUUUUAUGAGGGGUUAACAUAUGGCUCAAGCACAGUUAUACUGAAAGAUUUCAAGUUCUUUCGGCAUUCUUCAAAUCCUAACUAUGCAUAGACCCAGUCAGUUCCUUGAUUACCUACUUUGUAGCUUAAAUACGUAAAAGGUCUAUUUUUACAUACAACGUGACACACUUGAUACUGUUUUCCUGAUAUUUUACACUUCUAGCCCAACUUGAAGGCUGAUAGCAGUGUUCAGUAACACUGACAGUUGAUCUUUUUAGAUAUGCUGAAUAGUGUUCCUCCAGUUGUAAAUUUCACAUCAUUCACAAGGAGGUGGUUGUUGUUUUAAUGAAGGCCUAUGCUGGCAGCUAUGACUGUUGGACUCUUUAUUUUAGGAAUCUGAGGCAUGAGGAAGCAGACUGCUCAUUAAACAGUAACAUGAUUUAGCUAUUUAUUCUUUUCUUGGUGCCAUAACCAUGUAGCAAUGAAUUUAAGUACAUGGAAAAGUAAAAAAUAAUAAUAAUAAAAAAAUACUGAUUGAGUACAUAGAGCCUGGGAGGAAAUUCUUGCGUGUGCAUAUCUUGAGAGAGAAAAAAGGGAGUGCAAAUUAAAUAUAGCAUACUGUGGAAGUCAGUGUUUGCUGCAUUUGCUGCAUUAUGUAAAUCAGCUCUUAAAAAGUAUGCUUACUCUCAGGGCUAUUUUCUUUUGUUUGUUCUAAGAUGCAGUUUACUGAAAUUGAGAGCUUAGGAUUUUUUUAAGAACACUGAAGUCUUUUGAAAAGAAAAAUGCUUCUAAAAAUAGGUGCUUGCACCAUUUUAUUGCUGUAAUAUCUGGAAACGUUUUCAAUGUUAAUGUAAACCUACUGGCAAAUAUCUUUGAGGAUUCAUUGUCCUACCAUAUAAAAACCUUGCUACUUCUGAUCUUGAUACUCAGAGCUAAUUGUUGCUAAGACAACUUUCGAAACAAAGAGCGUGCAACUUUAAGAACAGCGUGGGGGGUGGAAAUGCAAAGAAGUCAGAUCCAUUAACCUUUCCUCUGCCUCAGGCCUAACUUCUUUUUGUUUAUGGAUUUUAAUAGAAUUCAUUGGUAUUUCUUGCUGAAAUGUGACCUAUUCUCUCUUGCCCAUCUCCGAAAUGUCUUUACAGUAACUCACUGCUAGUGAAAUCUGUUUUCUUGUGGAAUAUCUGACAGCUUCUCCAUGAAACUCUGACAGGGGAGUGAGGAGAGCACGUGGACACCAGUAACUUGUGGUUACAAAGAUCAUUGCUGCUGAGUGACUUCUUAGAUAUUUUAAUUUCCAUUGUCUCAUUGUGUAUGCACACACAGUCUGCGUAGGCCUGCUUCUGUAAACCGUAUGAUUUGGUAUUUUAGAUAAUCUUUUUUUAUGGACAGAUUUUCGGAACUUGACUCAUACAGAACUGAUACAUAAUUUUAGUACAAGUAUCUUCAAAGCAAAGCUUGUUUGUCGUUCUCAUUCUCAUGAAAUUAAUAUACCAUUAAUGUAACCUGCAAAAACGAGAUCCUUGCUACACAAGCACCCAAACACUUGAGAAUGUCAGGACUGUGCUUUUUUCCAUGUGAUCCUGUAGUUUUCAUUAGAUUAAUAGUCGAAGAAUAUUGCUUGGCUUUAUUCUUUCAUUUAUUGAAACGUGCAAUUUUUGAGAGUUAACAGUUAAGGGCUGUCCAAAACUGCCGUUAGAUUGGUCUUUGUAUGAAAUUGGCUGAUGUGUUUUCCUCUGUUACACUGUGAUUAACUUGUGGAGAUCUUCUUGUGUAUGUUGUACAGAUCAGUUACUUGUUGCAUGUAUGGCUAUUUUUGUAAGCAAGAGGAAUUCCAGGGAUGAUAUGCAUAAAGGGCCUAUUCUGAAAUGAUGUACACUGGUGUAAAACUGGAGCAGCUCUACUCAUUUCAAUGGAAUUCUUGAUUUACACUAGUCUUUGCUAUGUGUAGUUAUGCCAGUACUAUUUUGCACAAUGUUGUUUUAAAUCUUGAGUACUGAAUUGUGAACUGUUUCCACUAGAAACAGUAAAAAUUUUUACAAACUGCAAUAGUGGAAUGUUUUCGGGAUUUUUAUUUUAUUUUUUGCCUAAAAUAAAAAGUCAUCACUUCCA